GACGAACGCUGGCGGCGUGCCUAACACAUGCAAGUGGAGCGACGAACCAGGCUUCGGCCUGGGGCAAAGCCGCGAACGGGUGAGUAACACGUGGGUAACCUGCCCUGAUGAUUGGGACAACCCGAGGAAACUCGGGCUAAUACCAAAUGUGCCCUUCGGCCACAAGGCCGCUGGGGAAAGGAAGCUUCGGCCUCCGCAUCUGGAUGGGCCCGCGGCCCAUUAGCUUGUUGGUGAGGUAACGGCUCACCAAGGCGACGAUGGGUAGCUGGUCUGAGAGGACGAUCAGCCACACUGGGACUGAGACACGGCCCAGACUCCUACGGGAGGCAGCAGUGGGGAAUCUUGCGCAAUGCGCGAAAGCGUGACGCAGCAACGCCGCGUGGGGGAAGACGGCCUCGG
RNAcentral lists this ribosomal RNA (399 nucleotides) under uncultured bacterium. RNAcentral's name for it is "bacterial SSU rRNA". It matches the Rfam family "Bacterial small subunit ribosomal RNA", at positions 28 to 420 of the family's 1533-position model. The record is from RNAcentral.